GGCUCAGAACGAACGCUGGCGGCAUGCUUAACACAUGCAAGUCGAACGCUUUUUGGGGCUUCGGCUCCAAGAGGAGUGGCGCACGGGUGAGUAGCGCGUGGGAACCUGCCCUGGAGUGGGGGAUAACCGCGGGAAACUGCGGCUAAUACCGCAUACGCCGGAGGUAACUCCGGGAAAGAUUUAUCGCUCUAGGAGGGGCCCGCGUCGGACUAACUGGUUGGUGGGGUAACUGCCUACCAAGGCAAUGAUCCAUAGCUGGUCUGACAGGAUGAUCAGCCACACUGGGACUGACACACGGCCCACACUCCUACCGGAGGCAGCAAUGGG
This 327-nucleotide ribosomal RNA is filed under the name uncultured Rhodospirillales bacterium. RNAcentral's name for it is "bacterial SSU rRNA". It matches the Rfam family "Bacterial small subunit ribosomal RNA", at positions 21 to 358 of the family's 1533-position model. Lineage: Bacteria; Pseudomonadati; Pseudomonadota; Alphaproteobacteria; Rhodospirillales. The record is from RNAcentral.